CCCUACGGGGUGCAGCAGGCGCGAACACCUUACAAUGCGGGAAACCGCGAUAAGGGAACCCCGAGUGCCAGCAUCAAAUGUUGGCUGUCCAGAUGAUUAAAACUCAUUUGUUAGCAAGGGCCGGGCAAGACCGGUGCCAGCCGCCGCGGUAACACCGGCGGCCCGAGUGGUAACCGUUUUUAUUGGGUCUAAAGGGUCCGUAGCCGGCCUGAAAAGUCCUUUGGGAAAUCUGACAGCUUAACUGUCAGGCUUCUAAGGGAUACUGUCAGGCUUGGGACCGGAAGAGGUAAGGGGUACUCCAGGGGUAGGAGUGAAAUCUUGUAAUCCUUGGGGGACCAUCUGUGGCGAAGGCGCCUUACCAGAACGGGUCCGACGGUGAGGGACGAAAGCUAGGGGAGCAAACCGGAUUAGAUACCCGGGUAGUCCUAGCCGUAAACGAUGCUCGCUAGGCGUCAGGCACGGUGCGUCCGUGUCCGGUGCCGCAGGGAAGCCGUUAAGCGAGCCACCUGGGAAGUACGGUCGCAAGGCUGAAACUUAAAGGAAUUGGCGGGGGAGCAC
Molecule: ribosomal RNA, 558 nt
Filed under: uncultured archaeon
Lineage: Archaea
Description: bacterial SSU rRNA
Rfam family: Archaeal small subunit ribosomal RNA
Source: RNAcentral